RNAcentral lists this unclassified non-coding RNA (341 nucleotides) under Hevea brasiliensis (rubber tree). The record is from RNAcentral. Lineage: Eukaryota; Viridiplantae; Streptophyta; Magnoliopsida; Malpighiales; Euphorbiaceae.
GGUGAUAAGCUUCCCUUUGUACCCCUUUUGCUUGUUUCAUUAUAUUGCGCGUUGGGAAUGAUUUACUCAUGGGUAUGGCAGUUGAGGUGUCUGAUGAAAUCCACCUGAUUUUUAAUACUAAGAGUGAUGUUUGUAUCUAAUAAUGCAUCUCCAGCACUCCUUUAUGAUUCAGGUUGGCUUUCAGAAUGUGUUCUAAAAUGUGGUUGAUAUGGCCACAUUCUCCCUUUGUUUAAGAGGGAAGAAAACUAGAAACUUAUGCCGGAAUUUCUUACGCUAAAAAUCAUCGACCAGUGGCUCUUGACUUGCUACUUUAGUGAUAAACUCAACUCAACUAAGCCUUU